GCUGGGCAUGGUGGUGCAUGCCUGUAAUCCCAGCUAUUCAGGAGGCUGAGGCCGAAGAAUCGCUUGAACCCAGGAGGCAGAGGUUGCAGUGAGCUGAGAUCAAGCCACUGCACUCUAGCCUGGGAAACAGAGCAAGACUCCGUCUCAA
RNAcentral lists this non-coding RNA (148 nucleotides) under Pan paniscus (pygmy chimpanzee). The record is from Rfam by way of RNAcentral. Lineage: Eukaryota; Metazoa; Chordata; Mammalia; Primates; Hominidae. RNAcentral also lists the same sequence under 1 other name.